Long non-coding RNA from Talpa occidentalis (Iberian mole), 1913 nucleotides. RefSeq lists it as uncharacterized. The transcript has 5 exons. The record is from RefSeq and is a predicted model, not a curated record. Lineage: Eukaryota; Metazoa; Chordata; Mammalia; Eulipotyphla; Talpidae.
AAGCCUCGGCUUGGGCCUGCAGCGGCGCUCCGGAGCCGGGGGCCGGAGACGGGGCCUCCCUGCGGCGUAACUGGGGUUUCAGGCCUGUUGGGAUUUUUGUCCCUAGAAGCCGUCUCAGUUUGUCCCUCCACGUAACCCGUUGUCAUUUUGUCUUUAUAGAGUCAAAGAGGCCCAGCCUAGAAAGUGUUCAAGGCACCUGAAGAUAGCAGUAGGAGCAGGUGAAAGCCCCUCGUGUGUGAAAGGACCGAGGCAUUGUGCAUCGAUGGCUGCUCACAAGAGCGAAGAGCAGGCGGUGUGUGUCCUGAUGAAAGAACAUGUCACCUGUGGCUCGGGCUCCACCUCCGGCAGCUCAAGCUUCCAGAUCAGCAUCCAGUGUUGAGAGACCGUACAGCAGCGGCAGAUGGCACACCUGUGGCUGUGUGAAGAUUCCAUGACUAAUAAACGAAAACCCAAAACAACUUCCCAGUGAAAGCCCAGGCCGCGGGAGUCAAAGCAGGGCCGUAUCUUGGUCAGGAGCGAGCAGGGAUUGAACUGGCACUGCAGAGGCCUCGCAACCCAGCACUCAACCACUGCGCCACCAGGGGAGGCCCUUCUGUACAAAUUCUUUUGAAACAUUUCAUUGUCAACACAGGGCGAUGAACAGGACGAUGACGGAGCCGGAGAGAGAGGCCAGAGCUAGAGCACGGGCAGAGGCUAUCCUCACACCUGAGAGCAGGUUAACUCCAGCAGAGAAGGUGGUCCCAGGGCCGUCUGGGAGCAGCAGGACUCUCCAGGGGUCACAAAGUCCACGGAUUCAACCCUGAGAGCCGAGGACACUCCCUGGUUGGCCUGACUCUGUUGACCGGACGCUCUUCCCAGGUGCUUUCGUCUCUCUGAUUUCACGGUUUGUAACUUUUCAAAUAUCUCCACCCGUUUAAUUCUAGCUGUUCUCUAGGGUUAAACAUUCAGAAGUUUUUAUCCUAAAACAAAAAGACACCCUAAUGAAUGGGAGAAAAUAUUUGUGCAUCACACAACUGACACGGGGCUGAUAGCCAAGGUCUACAAAGAACUCAACGAAAAGAAAGCAAAUAACCCAAUCGAAAGGCAGGCAGAAGAGCUCAACAGGCAUUUCUCCAAAGACACGCAGACAACCGACACAUGCACGAGGAAAAUGCUCAUCGUCACUUAUCAUCAGGGCAACGCAAAUCAAAACCACCUGAGAUCGCACCUCACACCUGUGAGAAGGGCCCAUGGAGUGUAGACGGGUCCAGCCCCAGUGGAAAACAAGAUGGAAAGUUCCUCAAAUAUUAAAAAAGGAUCUGCCAUACGAUCCAGCAGUUCCACCCCUAGGAGUCUACCUGAAGGCUACAGGAACACUGAUUCCAAGGCCUAUCUGCACCCUGUUCGGGCAGCACUGUUGACAACAGCUUCGCCAUGGAGAUGACCUCUGCCCACGGACAGAUGAGUAGAUGGGGAGACAGGGUCCGUAUACACAGUGGAAUACCACUCAGCUGUAAAGGAUAGCUGGGUGGCAGCGUGGAUGGAGCUGAAGGGGAUGGCGCUAAGUGAAGUAAGUCAGAAGGAGAAAGACAAACACCAGGUGGCGUCACGUGCAGAACACAGAGAAACAAGACAACGGACCAGAUCCAGCCAGGCCAACAACAAACCCUGGCAUCUGACCGCAGGACGGAAGUGCCAGAGGGGAGGGGAGGAGAGAGAACAGGUUCCUGGUAGAUAUUGGCCAUCAGGCCCUUGUCAGGUGGAUCGUGGGGGACUCUGGGGGACAGAUAACAUGUGGAACAACACCUGAAGGGAGAGUCUAUACCUCUAAACCACACACAAUGUUACGAACCAGUAUUACCUCAAUAAAAAAAAAAAAAUCCAGAAGUUUUCUUUAGAAAGGGGAGGCUAUACAUUUUAAAGUACUCCUGCCC